Molecule: RNase P RNA, 316 nt
Filed under: Ramlibacter aquaticus
Lineage: Bacteria; Pseudomonadati; Pseudomonadota; Betaproteobacteria; Burkholderiales; Comamonadaceae
Description: RNase P RNA component class A
Rfam family: Bacterial RNase P class A
About the family: Ribonuclease P (RNase P) is a ubiquitous endoribonuclease, found in archaea, bacteria and eukarya as well as chloroplasts and mitochondria.
Source: RNAcentral
GAAGCCCGCCAGGCCGUCGCUGGCACCGCAUGGGAAACCUGGUGCUGGAGGAACGUCCGGACUGCAAAGGGCAGCGUAGCAGGUAACACCUGUCCACCGUGAGGUGAGGAUCAGAGCAACAGAGACGAGCCGGUUCAGUCCGGGUGAAACGGGCAAUCUCUACGCGCAGCAACACCGAAUAGGCCGGCAUUGAGAUGGCUCCGUGGAGCCGGCGGGUAGGUGGCACCGAGCCGGGUGGGCGACCCCCGGCCCAGAUGAAUGACGGUCAGCCCCGGCGACGGGGUCACAGAAUCCGGCGUAUCGGUGGACUUCACAC